RNAcentral lists this ribosomal RNA (301 nucleotides) under uncultured bacterium. RNAcentral's name for it is "partial 16S ribosomal RNA". It matches the Rfam family "Bacterial small subunit ribosomal RNA", at positions 509 to 807 of the family's 1533-position model. The record is from RNAcentral.
CAGCAGCCACGGUAAUACGAAGGGUGCAAGCGUUAAUCGGAAUUACUGGGCGUAAAGCGUGCGUAGGCGGUUUGUUAAGUCUGCUGUGAAAUCCCCGGGCUCAACCUGGGAAUGGCAGUGGAUACUGGCAAGCUAGAGUGUGUCAGAGGAUGGUGGAAUUCCCGGUGUAGCGGUGAAAUGCGUAGAGAUCGGGAGGAACAUCAGUGGCGAAGGCGGCCAUCUGGGACAACACUGACGCUGAGGCACGAAAGCGUGGGGAGCAAACAGGAUUAGAUACCCGCGUAGUCCCUGUCUCUUAUAC